AGCUGCGGCUGAAGUAGUCAAUGCACCGUAGCAAGUGCGUGCAGCACAGUCCGAUAGUCCAUUGCAAAGUAGGCACCCCAAGAGGAAUAUCCACUCCACAAACCUUCACAACCCAGUACUGGAGGAGGUGUCGCUCGUCAACUCUCAAUGAGGUGUCACCUCCUCUCCAGAUGAGCAUGUUUUGCAGGAUGAGAAUGGAGCCAGUACCGUCCA
Molecule: long non-coding RNA, 213 nt
Filed under: Physcomitrium patens
Lineage: Eukaryota; Viridiplantae; Streptophyta; Bryopsida; Funariales; Funariaceae
Description: long non-coding RNA (PPAT_LNC012813)
Source: RNAcentral